UCCGCUGGCGUCAUGACAUUCGCGGUGCUGCUCCCCGCGAGCAACGCCGCGAUUACAAAGAGGGAACUGAGAGGGCGAGCAGCGAGGAGGGUGACUAGCGCCUCGCCACCGGCGUACCCCUCUCCCCUCGUUGUGCGCCUCGCACUGCUCACAGCCUCGCGUUGAUCCCGCCGCCAUACAGAAGGCACGUGGCGCCUUUAUGUGCAGUUUUGUAGCUGUGGUCGUAGUUUUGCCGCUGUGUACGUUGGCGUUGUAACAGGUGUUCUGUGGUGCCGUUCGGUGUCGUGCAAAGAGCUCUCCUGCAAAAAUCUGCUGCAACAGUUUCCCCAAGGAAGCACAACAGAUGUUGAAGAUGCCAUCAAAUCAUGGCUCAGACAUGCACCGGAAAGGGCAUCAGGCACCCUCGAACACAAGGAGCCUGCAACGUCUGUUGAAGACUCAAAUGAAGAUGCUGAAUGAGUACCUUCCUUGCCCGCUGCACUCCAAUCCCAUGCCAGUGCCAUGACAUUCGUGUGCCCGAUUACAGCAGCUACCAAGUAGCUAUAGAUAGUACCUUCACAGCAUCAUUGUUACUUUUUCUC
Long non-coding RNA from Dermacentor silvarum, 581 nucleotides. RefSeq lists it as uncharacterized. The record is from RefSeq and is a predicted model, not a curated record. Lineage: Eukaryota; Metazoa; Arthropoda; Arachnida; Ixodida; Ixodidae. The transcript has 3 exons.